This is a long non-coding RNA of Lotus japonicus, 860 nucleotides long. RefSeq lists it as uncharacterized. Lineage: Eukaryota; Viridiplantae; Streptophyta; Magnoliopsida; Fabales; Fabaceae. The record is from RefSeq and is a predicted model, not a curated record. The transcript has 3 exons.
CUUUACAUAACAUAAAUUCAAAGUCCUUGUUCUUGUAUUUGUUAGAUAUAAUACAAUAUGAAUGAUGAAUGACUCAUUGUACCAAAAAAAAUUCAGGGAGCAUCUGACUUAAAUAAAUAUGUCUUGACUGCUGCAUUAGUGCCCCUUUGCUUUUUGUCAAGCUUUAAAGUAUGUCAGUUCUAACUUCAAAGGAUUUAAUGUAAAUGAGCAUGGGUUUAGUCUGGCAAAAUUUGUGUUGGCAAAUGUAGCAAUCUUGGAGUGGAUGGACUAUAUCUACAGCCUUUUGUCUGCGAUAUAUAGAUAUUGACAUGGAGAAAGUUGAGGAGCAAAUACUCUCAUUACUAAAAUGUUCCAGCUUUUUCAUAGAAUUUUCUAAUGUCAACGGUUCCUGAAGACUUCAUAACAUCCAAAGGUUACCUGCACCACACCUGUCAAAUGGAGUAGACCAAACAUUGGGAGUUUUCAGCAUAGACUCCAGAGUGAAGAUGCCUUUCUUUGGAGGCGGAAAUCCUUCUUAAAGGGACGUGGGAUUUCAUUUUGUUGCCUUUCCAUGAGCUUGAGCUAAAGUGGACCGCGGUUGAGCUUCAAACCUGGUAGAACACUUCCCCUGAAGUCCUAAGCAUUUUACUUAGUGAACUUGUGUGGCCGAAUUAGGGUGAUCAAACCCGGUAUGUACAAAUAUCAUCAAAAUUUUAUUUAUGGAAUAAAUUAUCAAAUUAUCACGAGAAUGAGAAGUAAAUUCUUUUAGCUGACUAAUACCCUUAUGAGUUUUUCUGUCAUCCAUAGUCAUACAUGUGAAAGGUUCCUACUAUAAUUGAAGUUCCUAUUAUAAUUGAAGUACUUAAGAAGUAAAUUACUAU